CCUUAAAGUAGCGAAGCAGGUGAGCUGGCUGCCAAGAAAAGCCGCUAUUGUUCAUAUGAUACCCGUACCGUAAACCGACACAGGUGGAUGAGGAGAGAAUCCUAAGGCCGGCGGGAGAAGCAUUGUUAAGGAACUCGGCAAAAUGACCCCGUAACUUCGGGAGAAGGGGUGCCUGCGAGAGCAGGCCGCAGAGAAUAGGCUCAAGCAACUGUUUAGCAAAAACACAGGUCUAUGCGAAACCGAAAGGUGAGGUAUAUGGGCUGACGCCUGCCCGGUGCUGGAAGGUUAAGAGGAGAUGUCAGGAAACGAAGCAUUGAAUUUAAGCCCCAGUAAACGGCGGCCGUAACUAUAACGGUCCUAAGGUAGCGAAAUUCCUUGUCGGGUAAGUUCCGACCCGCACGAAAGGCGUAAUGAUUUGAGCGCUGUCUCGACAAUGCACCCGGUGAAAUUGAAGUACCAGUGAAGAUGCUGGUUACCUGCGCCAGGACGGAAAGACCCCAUGGAGCUUUACUCCAGCUUGAUACUGGGAUCCGAUGCUGUAUGUACAGGAUAGGUGGGAGGCUAAGAAGCGGUGACGCCAGUUGCCGCAGAGCCGAUGUUGGGAUACCACCCUUGCAGUAUUGGAUUUCUAACCAGCUGCCGUGACCCGGCAGUGGGACAAUGUCUGGCGGGGAGUUUGACUGGGGCGGUCGCCUCCGAAAGGGUAUCGGAGGCGCUCAAAGGUUCCCUCAGGAUGGUUGGAAACCAUCCGAAGAGUGCAAAGGCAGAAGGGAGCUUGACUGCGACACCGACGGGUGGAGCAGGUACGAAAGUAGGACUUAGUGAUCCGGUGGUAUUAAGUGGGAAUGCCAUCGCUCAACGGAUAAAAGCUACCCUGGGAUAACAUGCUUAUCACUCCCAAGAGUUCACAUCGACGGAGUGGUUUGGCACCUCGAUGUCGGCUCAUCGCAUCCUGGGGCUGUAGCAGGUCCCAAGGGUUGGGCUGUUCGCCCAUUAAAGCGGUACGCGAGCUGGGUUCAGAACGUCGUGAGACAGUUCGGUCCCUAUCCGGCGCAGGCGGAGGAUAAUUGAGAGGAGCUGCCCUUAGUACGAGAGGACCGGGGUGGACGGACCGCUGGUGUAUCUGUUGGCUACCAAAGCCAUGGCAGAGUAGCCAAGUCCGGCAGGGAUAAAUGCAGAAGGCAUCUAAGCGUGAAGCCCUCCUCAAGAUGAGUUAUCCCAAUAAGUAAGACCCCUUAGAGAGUAUGAGGUAGAUAGGUUUGAGGUGGAAGUGCAGUAAUGCAUGGAGCUGACAAAUACUAAUCGGUCGAGGGCUUAUCCAU
RNAcentral lists this ribosomal RNA (1322 nucleotides) under metagenome. Its description in RNAcentral is "bacterial LSU rRNA". It matches the Rfam family "Bacterial large subunit ribosomal RNA", at positions 1576 to 2925 of the family's 2925-position model. The record is from RNAcentral.